Molecule: transfer RNA, 1042 nt
Filed under: Piliocolobus tephrosceles (Ugandan red Colobus)
Lineage: Eukaryota; Metazoa; Chordata; Mammalia; Primates; Cercopithecidae
Description: lncRNA (ENSPTEG00000027219.1)
Source: RNAcentral
CAAUCUAGCAGGGCCACAACAAGUGUGGUAAACGCAAUGAGAGGGAAAUGUGCAGAGAAAGCAUCUCACCCACAGUCAGGGCGGAAAUGACGCCUAAGCUAGGACCUAACUUCAGAAAGGAAUAAGUACAGGAAGAGAAGUACACAAGAUGCCAGGGGAAUCAGAAGCAACCAGCAUCCUCAGGAGAGCACUCUUUUGGUCAUUUGCUCAUCUCCACAGUACAAGGAGAAAAUACUGGAGAAAACACAGCGGGUGUAUUUCGGCAUGCGACCGCUUGGUUCCCCGGCUUUCCUUCACCUCAGCCCUAAUCUCUCAUUUCAAAAACUGACUUCACGCUGUUGUCAGCUAUGUCCCUUCCGCCACCUGCUGCAGGUGGCUGGGGUCUGAGGAGGUUUGACCUUCACACCCGCACCAGGGAGAGGUCCUUGGUUCCUUUCAACCACGAUGCGUCCCGUGUGCUUUGAAAUGGAUUUAUAGUUUUGGCUAAAAACUUGCCUUCUCCGCAAUAAUGAGAAUCUAAAUUGACUAAACACACGUUCUGAAACUCUGGCGUUCCCACACCGGGAGUCGAACCCGGGCCGCCUGGGUGAAAACCAGGAAUCCUAACCGCUAGACCAUGUGGGAAACGACAAGAAGCCUGCCAAAUCUAGACAAAUUGAGUCUUCUCGGUCGGCUUCCGCCUGCUCCAUCACGUUCAUCCGUAGCUACGCGUCAAACCUCCUCCUAAGCCUGCGCGGAGUCUACAGCUGUUUAAACUGCUCCGGUUCGUAUUCUCUCCUUGCAGGGGCCUUUGAAUCUUUCUUCAAUCUAUACUCGCGUCUUUGGUGAUCUCAUCCAGUCUCCUGGUACUAGGUACCAUGUCGACACCAAUGUAGACACUAGAUUGGAUGAGUCAUUGUUCACAAUUCCUCGCAAGAGCUCCUGCAAAGCCCGAAAGAACUGGGGUUUGAACGUUAGAGGCUGGUAAAGAAGUGAGGACUGCGGGGCGAUGUAACACCGCGCAGUGGAGGCCACGCUGCACUGGCCAGUGUCCCCCGACAGG